Molecule: long non-coding RNA, 803 nt
Organism: Camelina sativa (false flax)
Lineage: Eukaryota; Viridiplantae; Streptophyta; Magnoliopsida; Brassicales; Brassicaceae
Source: RefSeq, a predicted model, not a curated record
UUUUUUUUCCUUUUCCUGACUCUUUCUUUCCUCCCUCGACGAACAGAUGAGAACAGAUGAAUCUCUUCUGAUUCUUUAGUUUUCAUAGAUUUCAAUCGAUUCACCUUGAUUUUUCCGGCAUAAAGAUGUAAGAUCGUUUACUCUAAAAACGAUUUCUGGUUCCAAUCGUUAUUAAUCUCGAUCUGACGUUUCGGAUUUGACGGCAAUUGAUCUCCGAUGGACUUACGGGGACGGCGAGAGGACGGGGAGGGGACGCGAAGGGGACGGCGAAGGGCAUCGGCAAGCUCUUGGCAGAAGAUUUUGCUUUGAAGAGAUUUAGUCUCACAAGAAAAGUGUGCACAAACUUAAGAGGAUUGGAGAUGUGCUCACAGUCGUUGUUGCUGCAGCCAGCAGGAACGAAGUAGCAAUAUAUAGAGAAGUUUGUGCAAUUCAAUCGCUUGGUACUUGGUACUUCAACAAACUGAGAGUCUAAGACUCAUAACGAAAGAGGCUGUUCCAACUGCAAAGGGCCAACCUUUGGCUGAUGAGUAUGGAAUCAAUUUCUUUGAGACGAGUGCAAAAACAAACCUAAAUGCAGAGGUAAGAACUGCAGGAAUCUAGUACAAUUACUCGCUCUUCAUACCCUUAUACUGACAUUAUACCUGAAUGUUGUGUUGUUUUUAUUCUGAAGUUGUAUUACCUGAGGUGACUGGAUCGUAUGGUAUGUCUGUGAAAAUGAUUGGUUAUUGAAACAUGCUUUCUAGUGUGGUGAUGAUGGAAUGAUAUGAUAUGAUGAUGGAUGCAAGGUGUUUCAAUUACCCUUA